RNAcentral lists this ribosomal RNA (490 nucleotides) under uncultured marine bacterium. RNAcentral's name for it is "bacterial SSU rRNA". It matches the Rfam family "Bacterial small subunit ribosomal RNA", at positions 348 to 859 of the family's 1533-position model. The record is from RNAcentral.
GCAGCAGUGGGGAAUAUUGGACAAUGGGCGAAAGCCUGAUCCAGCCAUGCCGCGUGAGUGAAGAAGGCCUUCGGGUUGUAAAGCUCUUUCAGAUGUGAAGAUGAUGACGGUAGCAUCAGAAGAAGCCCCGGCUAAUUUCGUGCCAGCAGCCGCGGUAAUACGAAAGGGGCAAGCGUUGUUCGGAUUUACUGGGCGUAAAGGGCACGCAGGCGGUCUUGCCAGUCAGGGGUGAAAGCCCGGGGCUCAACCCCGGAACUGCCUCUGAUACUGCAGGACUAGAGACUAGGAGAGGGUGGUGGAAUUCCCAGUGUAGAGGUGAAAUUCGUAGAUAUUGGGAGGAACACCAGAGGCGAAGGCGGCCACCUGGACUAGAUCUGACGCUCAGGUGCGAAAGCGUGGGGAGCAAACAGGAUUAGAUACCCUGGUAGUCCACGCCGUAAACGAUGAGUGCUAGUUGUCGGGACUUCGGUUUCGGUGACGCAGCAACGCA